Molecule: ribosomal RNA, 489 nt
Filed under: uncultured bacterium
Lineage: Bacteria
Description: partial 16S ribosomal RNA
Rfam family: Bacterial small subunit ribosomal RNA
Source: RNAcentral
UUGAACGCUGGCGGCAGGCCUAACACAUGCAAGUCGAACGGUAACAGGAAGCAGCUUGCUGCUUCGCUGACGAGUGGCGGACGGGUGAGUAAUGUCUGGGAAACUGCCUGAUGGAGGGGGAUAACUACUGGAAACGGUAGCUAAUACCGCAUAACGUCGCAAGACCAAAGAGGGGGACCUUAGGGCCUCUUGCCAUCGGAUGUGCCCAGAUGGGAUUAGCUAGUAGGUGGGGUAACGGCUCACCUAGGCGACGAUCCCUAGCUGGUCUGAGAGGAUGACCAGCCACACUGGAACUGAGACACGGUCCAGACUCCUGCGGGAGGCAGCAGUGGGGAAUAUUGCACAAUGGGCGCAAGCCUGAUGCAGCCAUGCCGCGUGUAUGAAGAAGGCCUUCGGGUUGUAAAGUACUUUCAGCGGGGAGGAAGGGAGUAAAGUUAAUACCUUUGCUCAUUGACGUUACCCGCAGAAGAAGCACCGGCUAACUCCGUG